Molecule: long non-coding RNA, 1329 nt
Filed under: Phascolarctos cinereus (koala)
Lineage: Eukaryota; Metazoa; Chordata; Mammalia; Diprotodontia; Phascolarctidae
Description: lncRNA (ENSPCIG00000034793.1)
Source: RNAcentral
AGCGGACUACUAUUCCUAUCGCACCCCGCGCGACGGGCGAGCCAGUUAGUCCUUCUACCGCCAUCUUGCACGUAGUCCUUAUCCGUCUUCACCUUUCCAUUGUUCCUGACGGGGAUAACUGGAGAGGAAAGGAAGUGGAUGGACUGAAACUCCCGGCAUGUCCCACACGCGCAGAGGGUUGUAGAGGGAAAGAGGCUGAGAUCUUGGAGAGGAGGACGGAGGAAGAUGCCAUCUUGGAAGGUCCCCAGCCGGGCCCGUUGGCCGCCAUCUUCUAUGUAGUUUUUGCCCUCUCUGGCGUUCCAUUGUCUUCCACGACUGCCCCGAGGGCUAGAAGACUACAAUAUCCGUCGUGCUCCGCGCGCCUCAUUCCAGGAAGGUGGAGGUGUAGGGGGAAAGGGGGAGGGGUUGGUCUGGAAGAAGGAGGGAGGGAGGGAAGGAGGGAGGGAAGAAGGAGGAGAGAAGGAGGGGGGAGGAGAGGAGGAAGGAGGAAGGAGCUGAGGAGGGAUGAGAGAGGCGGCUGGGGCCCGGGGCCGGAGCAGCGCGGGGCCAGGGGGCCGGGGGGGCUGAGACACCCCAACUGCCCCCUGCCCCUCCCCUCCCCCUUCCUCCUUCCCUCCCUUCCUCCUACUCGAGGGGGGUUUUAUUCAAAUUUAUUUAAAUUUAUUUCGUCUUAGGGGCGAUUGCGGGGGAGGGGGGUGGGGGGGCGCGAGGGCCGGGGUGGGCGGGGCCAGAGUCGCUUCCUUCACCCCCCCUCCCCUCCCCCCUUCCCUGCCAGGGAGGGGUCACAGGAGGUUGGAACGGGCCCGGGGGAGGGGGGAAGGUUAAGGUGACCCCCCCCUCCCCUCCCCAGGAACCAGCGGUGGGAAGGGCCUGGACCCCGGGAAACGGGGAGGGGGGGGGUGGGCCUGGACCUCAGGAGUAGCUGGAGGGGGGCUAGGGUGGUGGGGAGGGAAAGGUGGGAGUUAACAGGCCAGAGCCACUUAGGAGGGAAAACGGUAGGAGUCACUGAAGCAGGGAAAGGGGAGAAUUUGAACCCCUAAACCAAGAGACACUGGGGAAGGACUUGACCUCCCAGUAGCCAAGAAACCCAAGAACCUGACCCUAUUGACGUGGGGGUGGGGCUGAAGAACUGAGUCCCCCCCAGAUCAGGGACUCUCCUGAAAACCUAGCACGAAAACCAGUGAGAGGGCCUCUCCUCCAAGGGGAUCUACACCUGAGCACCCCAAUAGGUGCUUUCACCUAUCUCUACCCACUGCCCCAGCCUCCAGGGGAGGCUGUGCAGCUUCAGGGGGCCGUGGACCCCAGAGUUCUGAGCACCCAGCGCCCUCC